This 443-nucleotide ribosomal RNA is filed under the name uncultured bacterium. Its description in RNAcentral is "partial 16S ribosomal RNA". It matches the Rfam family "Bacterial small subunit ribosomal RNA", at positions 338 to 795 of the family's 1533-position model. The record is from RNAcentral.
CCUACGGGAGGCAGCAGUGGGGGAUAUUGGACAAUGGGGGGAACCCUGAUCCAGCGACGCCGCGUGAGUGAAGAAGUAUUUCGGUAUGUAAAGCUCUGUCAGCAGGGAAGAAAGAAAUGACGGUACCUGACCAAGAAGCCCCGGCUAACUACGUGCCAGCAGCCGCGGUAAUACGUAGGGGGCAAGCGUUAUCCGGAAUUACUGGGUGUAAAGGGAGCGUAGACGGUUAAGUAAGUCUGGAGUGAAAGGCCGGGGCCCAACCCCGGGACUGCUCUGGAAACUAUUGAACUUGAGUGCAGGAGAGGUAAGCGGAAUUCCUAGUGUAGCGGUGAAAUGCGUAGAGAUUAGGAGGAACACCAGGGGCGAAGGCGGCUUACUGGACUGUAACUGACGUUGAGGCUCGAAAGCGUGGGGAGCAAACAGGAUUAGAUACCCCGGUAGUC